Molecule: long non-coding RNA, 617 nt
Organism: Rhipicephalus microplus (southern cattle tick)
Lineage: Eukaryota; Metazoa; Arthropoda; Arachnida; Ixodida; Ixodidae
Source: RefSeq, a predicted model, not a curated record
AUAGAGUUGCUGCCAGCUAUUACGUCGUCCUUAUGCUUUUUGUCUUUGUGACGGAGAUAACUUGUUGCUGUGCUGUCAUCGCCGAAAGGCGUCGUCAUGAGACAGAGCAUCGGACUGUGUGCGCCAUUCUCUCUGCCCUUCAGGAGGGAUCGUUAUUGCGCUGAGUAUCGACUCAGCUGAAAAUGCAUUUCGAGGUUCUGCAGGUAACACCUGAAGAGGUCAGUGCGCAUGCGCAGGUUCGUUCGAGGGGGCAUUCACCAAGAACUCGGGCAGCAGCGCCCGGCCGAGCGUCCUCACCGACGAGACACCGCGUGAUUGGACAAGCGUGCCGCGUCCCGAGUGCACGUCACUUCCGUCUGUGUCUCGGUGCGCGCAUCCGGUUCCAGCCUGGGUGUUCUCGGGCGCUAGCAUCUUGGACGGCUUCUGCCAGCGCUGGGAGCCUCGCAGCCAGUGCCUCGAAGCCGGCGGAAACGCGUUCGCCUCUCUCGCCGAGUGUCAGAGGACGUGUCACAACAGCACGCGUGCCAGUGACCGGUGCGGCGCCGUGCGCACUCGAGCCUGCCAUGACGGGGAUCGUCGGCUCGAGUACGUGCUGGGCCUCGCCCUGUCCCCCACCA